Chrysoperla carnea is the source of this 86-nucleotide long non-coding RNA. RefSeq lists it as uncharacterized. Lineage: Eukaryota; Metazoa; Arthropoda; Insecta; Neuroptera; Chrysopidae. The record is from RefSeq and is a predicted model, not a curated record. The transcript is spliced from 3 exons.
GGUCCUAAAUGCAUAGUAGUCUGCUCAAUCCCAGGAGGUGUGCAUAACUUUUGGGAGCCAAAUAGCUGUGAAAUUUUUCUCUUCUU